RNAcentral lists this ribosomal RNA (254 nucleotides) under uncultured Scutellospora. RNAcentral describes it as "partial 18S ribosomal RNA". It matches the Rfam family "Eukaryotic small subunit ribosomal RNA", at positions 569 to 826 of the family's 1831-position model. The record is from RNAcentral. Lineage: Eukaryota; Fungi; Glomeromycota; Glomeromycetes; Diversisporales; Gigasporaceae.
AGCAGCCGCGGUAAUUCCAGCUCCAAUAGCGUAUAUUAAAGUUGUUGCAGUUAAAAAGCUCGUAGUUGAAUUUCGGGGUUCUACCGUCGGUCGGGCUAACAAGUCUGUACUGGUGUGUAGAAUUUCUACCUUCUGGGGAACUAUCAUGUUAUUAAUUUAGCGUGGUGGGAAACCAGGACCUUUACCUUGAAAAAAUUAGAGUGUUCAAAGACAGGCUUACGUCUGAAUACAUUAGCAUGGAAUAAUAGAAUAGG